This 113-nucleotide ribosomal RNA is filed under the name Pseudomonas sp. CFBP 8758. Lineage: Bacteria; Pseudomonadati; Pseudomonadota; Gammaproteobacteria; Pseudomonadales; Pseudomonadaceae. The record is from RNAcentral.
CUUGACGACCAUAGAGCAUUGGAACCACCUGAUCCCAUCCCGAACUCAGCAGUGAAACGAUGCAUCGCCGAUGGUAGUGNCCUUAGUGCAGCCUGUAUCUCAAGUUGUCGCGC